RNAcentral lists this ribosomal RNA (497 nucleotides) under uncultured bacterium. RNAcentral describes it as "partial 16S ribosomal RNA". It matches the Rfam family "Bacterial small subunit ribosomal RNA", at positions 28 to 507 of the family's 1533-position model. The record is from RNAcentral.
GACGAACGCUGGCGGCGUGCCUAAUACAUGCAAGUUGAGCGCUGAAGGUUGGUACUUGUACCAACUGGAUGAGCAGCGAACGGGUGAGUAACGCGUGGGGAAUCUGCCUUUGAGCGGGGGACAACAUUUGGAAACGAAUGCUAAUACCGCAUAAAAACUUUAAACACAAGUUUUAAGUUUGAAAGAUGCAAUUGCAUCACUCAAAGAUGAUCCCGCGUUGUAUUAGCUAGUUGGUGAGGUAAAGGCUCACCAAGGCGAUGAUACAUAGCCGACCUGAGAGGGUGAUCGGCCACAGUGGGACUGAGACACGGCCCAAACUCCUACGGGAGGCAGCAGUAGGGAAUCUUCGGCAAUGGACGAAAGUCUGACCGAGCAACGCCGCGUGAGUGAAGAAGGUUGUCGGAUCGUAAAACUCUGUUGGUGGAGAAGAACGUUGGUGAGAGUGGAAAGCUCAUCAAGUGACGGUAACUACCCAGAAAGGGACGGCUAACUACGUG